CACUUCACCCAUCAUCAGUGAUUCCGGUUACUAGAAGUGAGCCCGUAACUCUUCAAUAAGUCUUCGUUGUAUCCGAAUAUUUGCAGCACUUUAUCUUCCUGAAAGACAAAGAAAAAUGAGGUUGUUUGUUGCAUUGAUAUUGACUGGUAUAGUUGCCAUUAUUCAAGAUUGCCUUGGACAAAAGUAAGUAGAUUUA
This is a long non-coding RNA of Octopus sinensis (East Asian common octopus), 196 nucleotides long. RefSeq lists it as uncharacterized. The transcript has 3 exons. The record is from RefSeq and is a predicted model, not a curated record. NCBI's taxonomy places the organism in Eukaryota, Metazoa, Mollusca, Cephalopoda, Octopoda, Octopodidae.